CCUACGGGUGGCUGCAGUGAGGAAUAUUGGUCAAUGGACGAGAGUCUGAACCAGCCAAGUAGCGUGAAGGAUGACUGCCCUAUGGGUUGUAAACUUCUUUUAUAUGGGAAUAAAAUGUUCCACGUGUGGGAUUUUGUAUGUACUUUAUGAAUAAGGAUCGGCUAACUCCGUGCCAGCAGCCGCGGUAAUACGGAGGAUCCGAGCGUUAUCCGGAUUUAUUGGGUUUAAAGGGAGCGUAGGUGGAUUGUUAAGUCAGUUGUGAAAGUUUGCGGCUCAACCGUAAAAUUGCAGUUGAAACUGGCAGUCUUGAGUACAGUAGAGGUGGGCGGAAUUCGUGGUGUAGCGGUGAAAUGCUUAGAUAUCACGAAGAACUCCGAUUGCGAAGGCAGUUCACUAGACUGCAACUGACACUGAGGCUCGAAAGUGUGGGUAUCAAACAGGAUUAGAUACCCUUGUAGUC
RNAcentral lists this ribosomal RNA (460 nucleotides) under uncultured bacterium. Its description in RNAcentral is "partial 16S ribosomal RNA". It matches the Rfam family "Bacterial small subunit ribosomal RNA", at positions 338 to 795 of the family's 1533-position model. The record is from RNAcentral.